RNAcentral lists this ribosomal RNA (232 nucleotides) under uncultured bacterium. RNAcentral's name for it is "partial 16S ribosomal RNA". It matches the Rfam family "Bacterial small subunit ribosomal RNA", at positions 104 to 334 of the family's 1533-position model. The record is from RNAcentral.
CGGGGUGAGUAACACGUGAGUAACCUGCCCUUCACUCUGGGAUAACGUCGGGAAACCGGUGCUAAUACUGGAUAUGACCUACUCGGGCAUCCGAUGUGGGUGGAAAGAUUUAUUGGUGGGGGAUGGACUCGCGGCCUAUCAGCUUGUUGGUGAGGUAAUGGCUUACCAAGGCGACGACGGGUAGCCGGCCUGAGAGGGCGAUCGGCCACACUGGGACUGAGACACGGCCCAG